Non-coding RNA from Pelobates cultripes (western spadefoot toad), 359 nucleotides. NCBI's taxonomy places the organism in Eukaryota, Metazoa, Chordata, Amphibia, Anura, Pelobatidae. The record is from the annotation of a GenBank genome assembly.
CACACACACACACAAACAAUGCAACCCUUACACACAAUGCAUCCCUUACACACACAGAAACACACAAUGCAUUCCUUACACACACUCAAUGCACCCCUUACACACGCACACACUGCAUCCUGUACAUACACAGAAACACACCUUGCAGCCCUUACACAUACAAACACAGAUUCACACAAUGCAUUCCUUACACACAUAUCAGGACAUUCCCUACACACUCCACCCCCUGUGAACAAACUCAUUGGUGGAACAUGAAGGUGGACCCUGGGACCCAGACCUUGAGCUGUGUAAAGGGCCCCCAAAAAAUGGAGCUGCUUCCCGUUCUCCCAGAACAUUGAUUUUUGUGACCACAGUUACAA